GUUUCGGGUACCGCUCCGGUUUAAAUUUCUUGGAACAGAAUGUCAAAGAGGGUGAGAAUCCCGUCUUGGACCGGCGGUAGGGCCCAUGUGAAACUCCUUCGACGAGUCGAGUUGUUUGGGAAUGCAGCUCAAAAUGGGUGGUAAAUUUCAUCUAAAGCUAAAUAUUGGCCAGAGACCGAUAGCGCACAAGUAGAGUGAUCGAAAGAUGAAAAGCACUUUGAAAAGAGAGUUAAACAGUAUGUGAAAUUGUUGAAAGGGAAGCGCUUGCAACCAGACUUGAGCGCGGCGGUUCCCCCUUCCUUCUGGUUGGGCUACUCCGCCGCGUCCAGGCCAACAUCGGUUCUGGGGGUCGGUCAAAGGCUCGGGGAAUGUAUCUACCCUUCGGGCGUAGACUUAUAGCCCCGAGUGUCAUGCGACCUCCCGGGACCGAGGAACGCGCUUCGGCUCGGAUGUUGGCGUAAUGGUUGUCAGCGACCCGUCUUGAAACACGGACCAAGGAGUCUAACAUCUAUGCGAGUGUUUGGGUGUCAAACCCGGAACGCGGAAUGAAAGUGAACGGAGGUAGGAAGCUUCGGCUGCACUAUCGACCGAUCCUGAUGUCUUCGGAUGGAUUUGAGUAAGAGCAUAGCUGUUGGGACCCGAAAGAUGGUGAACUAUGCCUGAAUAGGGUGAAGCCAGAGGAAACUCUGGUGGAGGCUCGCAGCGGUUCUGACGUGCAAAUCGAUCGUCAAAUUUGGGUAUAGGGGCGAAAGACUAAUCGAACCAUCUGG
RNAcentral lists this ribosomal RNA (770 nucleotides) under Rhinocladiella atrovirens. RNAcentral's name for it is "partial large subunit ribosomal RNA". It matches the Rfam family "Eukaryotic large subunit ribosomal RNA", at positions 161 to 947 of the family's 3401-position model. Lineage: Eukaryota; Fungi; Ascomycota; Eurotiomycetes; Chaetothyriales; Herpotrichiellaceae. The record is from RNAcentral.